UGACACCAUAGAAUGAGGAUGUUCACCCUCAGAGAAGAGAAAGAACGCUGGGCACAAAUAACUGCUUUGGAAGAGCCUGUGAACCUCCCAGCCUGUGGACAACAGACUCUGAAGAGGGAAGGAAGAGAACUAGAUAUUGAUGUGGGUCCUGGAGAGGAAAUCUCAGGAGAGGUUUUAAGACAGUGGCAUGCUGACAAGAACAGAAUCACGUGGGCAAGAUGCCUGAAAAACAUCUGCUGAAAAUUCAUCUGCUGAAUUAAUGAAGAAGCCACUACUAUCUUGGCAGCAAAGAUGGCCAAUGAGGAAACGGCAAUAACGAUCCGGGAAGGCAUCCAAAUUAUAAAAC
Long non-coding RNA from Orcinus orca (killer whale), 346 nucleotides. RefSeq lists it as uncharacterized. The transcript has 3 exons. Lineage: Eukaryota; Metazoa; Chordata; Mammalia; Artiodactyla; Delphinidae. The record is from RefSeq and is a predicted model, not a curated record.